GAGACAGCAGUAGCCGCGGUAAUACGGAGGGUGCAAGCGUUAAUCGGAAUUACUGGGCGUAAAGCGCACGCAGGCGGUUUGUUAAGUCAGAUGUGAAAUCCCCGAGCUUAACUUGGGAACUGCAUUUGAAACUGGCAAGCUAGAGUCUUGUAGAGGGGGGUAGAAUUCCAGGUGUAGCGGUGAAAUGCGUAGAGAUCUGGAGGAAUACCGGUGGCGAAGGCGGCCCCCUGGACAAAGACUGACGCUCAGGUGCGAAAGCGUGGGGAGCAAACAGGAUUAGAUACCCCGGUAGUCCCUGUCUCUUAUAC
Molecule: ribosomal RNA, 308 nt
Filed under: uncultured bacterium
Lineage: Bacteria
Description: partial 16S ribosomal RNA
Rfam family: Bacterial small subunit ribosomal RNA
Source: RNAcentral